GCCUGAGCUUGGCGGUAGCUGCUGGAAGCUCAGGGAGGCUUUCUUCGGGAGAUUAGACUGCGGCCGGCUCUGUAGGCCAAGGCCUUCUCUGUGGCUGCCCAAGGCGGAUCCUGAUGAAAAGAGGCAGUCCAUGGUUUCCAGGCGUUUAUUGUCAUGGCGGAAAAUGGAUGAGUAAAGCCGUACCCUACCUACUUCUCAGAGUGGGCCUGAGAUUAAGUACUGUUUACAGGGAGGAGUGUCUGGGAAGGGAAAUUCAUUGGCUAAGCCUCCAGGCCUUUAGAUACCUCAAUAUAAUGGCGAUCUGUCUUGAGUCUAUGUGACUUGUGGUCAGGUCCUCUACCUGUUAAGGGGCUUGGGGCAUUGCCCUUACGUGACUGGUGGUCACAAAUCUAUGGAGGGCUGCGGAUAGUGACUAGCCUGGUUUCCUAGGAGUCAGGUUAAACGCCUACCAUCCCUCGGGGUCUCCGGAAUUUCAAACAUCCUCAGCUGGGAACCAGGGUCUUUCACUGUCCCACACAUGGCAUCAUAGUCAACGAUAGAUUAACAUGUGUAGCUUUAUCUAAAAUCUAUUCCCUUCUGGUGACAGAACUCAUGCCUUCUUCACUGAAACUGCCCUUACUGCGCAUGUAUCUGGAUGGAAUAUAUCUAUUCCAGGAUUUUAUGAGAGGCUUAGGGCUAGCUAACCUAAGCAUUGGAUUCAUUUUCUCUGGCUAUCUUAGCUACUGCCCUUUGGCUGCGAAGGGACAACACGAUCAAGGCGACUCUUAUAAAAGAAAGCAUUUAAUUGAGAGCUUGCUCACAGUUUAGUACAGCGGUUUCUCCACCUUCCUUUAAUACAGUUCCUCAUGUGGUGGUGACUUCCAAGCAUACCAUUAUUCUCAUUGCUACUUCAGAACUGUAAUUUCCUGCUCUUAUGAAUAGGUCGUAAUAUAGCUAUCUGUGUUUUCUAAUAGUCUUAGGCAAUCCCUGUGAAACGGUUGUUUGAUGUCUGCCCCACUAAGGGUUGCAACCCACGGGCUGAAAACUGCUGGUUUGGAGGAUUAGUCCAUGAUCUCUGUGGUGGUAAGCAGACAGGAAUGAUACUGGAGCCACAGCUGAGGGCUUUACAUCCUGAUUUGCACCAGCAGGCAGAGAUGGAGGGAGACGACAGAGACUGAGCCUGGUGUGGGUUUCGAAACCUCAAAGCUCAUCCUCGGUGACACAUGUGCUCCAUCAAGGCCACACCCACUCCAAAAUGCCACACCUUCCAAUCCUUUCCAAGCAGUUCCACUAACUAGGGAGCAAGCAUUCAAUGUAUGAGCCUAUGGGGGGUGGCCAGCCUCAUUCACACCACCACACGGACCACACUGAUGGACUUGGGGGAUGCGCACGUAAGCCGAGGAGGCCUGAUGUGUUUUCUAAUAGUCUUAGGCAAUCCCCGUGAAACGGUUGUUUGACGUCUGCCCCACUAAGGGUUGCAACCCACGGGCUGAAAACUGCUGGUUUGGAGGAUUAGUCCAUGAUCUCUGUGGUGGUAAGCAGACAGGAAUGAUACUGUUCUAGGAAUGAUACCCGAGGUUUUGCUUUGAGCUGCAAGGAAGACAAACCGUGAAUGCUCUCACUCAGCUAUAGAAAGUGAGCUUGCAGGUGCCGAGACAAUGGAGAAAAGCGUGCCCAAGACUGAGGACUUAAGCUAAGGCGAAGGGAGACACCCAGUGCCACAGGCAUGGUUAUAGCCCCUGAAGCUAGUUGAGUUGCCAGUUCCUCACAUGGAUGGAAUUGUUAUCAUUUCCUUAAGCCAACGUGGAGUUUGCUAACGCUUGUUUUUAAAUGAAUAUUUGUUUACUUAUUUAAAGGUUUAGUCAUUUUACGUGUUCAUGUGCUCCAUCUUCAGGAUCACCAUAGCAGGGCAUCGGAUUCCAUUAUCAGAUUCUGAACUACCAUGUGCUUGCUGGGAAUUGAACUUGGGACGUCUGGAAGGGCGGGGUUUCUAACCAUUGAGCCAUCUCUCCGUAUCCAUGAAAUUUUAUUUUUGACACAGACUGUGGUCAUAUCUCUCAAGCUUGUCUAGAAUACCUAAUCCUCCCAUCUCAGCCUCGUGAGUGCUGCGAUUGUAGGAGCAGCCUUCAGCCUGUCUACUGUGUUACAAGACAGAAGAGUGCACGUGUAGCUUUCAGCGUGGCACUGUGAACAUCUUCCCAGAUGUUGGAAGAAGCUGCAUAAAAACAGUCUCCUUAGUCACCCGUGCUCCACUCUGACUAGAGUAGAUGGCAGGAGCCACCUCAGACACUCCCCUGCUGGUGAGGACAGCUACGUUUCAGCUCCUAGGUCCAUCUACAACUGAAAUGGUGUCUGGAACUGAGAGGGUCCUCAGCAGAUCCUUACACCUGCCAUAGCCGACUGGGAAGGUGAGAAAUGGAGCCUCUGUCGUCUUCUUCCGUUCUGUUCAGCAUACAUCUGGCACCUGGUGAAGGCCGCUUGGUGUGUUGAUAAUGACUCGUGGAAAAUACACCAUAAGAGUCCAAGUGAGGAAAAGAAAGACUCAGGUGUGGUGAACAGCCAGCCACACACCCAGACUGGCCUUCUCCAUAAUAGAAUGGAGCUCUUUCUCCCUCAGUGCAGUUGAACAAACCAAUCCAAGUGAGGAAACCUCAGGGAAGGAGUGGCUUUCACUUCCCUAAGCAGCCUAGCCUAUCUCCUCUUAACCCCUGUGACCCUCAAAACCCAGUAAAUUCCUUCUUUUAUCUAUCUCAAAUCCUUUCUAUUACUCUCUAAGCCAAUUUUCUCGUGUACUGUAUUCAGUGGGAAUUGGAAACAGCUGGUCACCAUCUGCUGUAGAUUAACUCUUCAUGUACUUGAAGCCUAUAAUUAGGUCAUCGCUCAGCCUUCUCUUCUCCAGGCAAAAUAGCUCCUUUCCUUUAACCCUUCCCUGAAGGUUUUGUUUUCCAAUUAUUUAAUUGUUCUCUGUAGUGUUGCCCAAGAGUCUGCACUCUUCACACAUCUCCAGUCAAGGGCUGGGUCAUCGGGAAGGGUCAAGGAGUGUUGAAAGUCACCAUUGUCACUUUCCGAGGGUCUUUUUUCCGAGUUUAUUUUCAGAGGGCCAUUUAGUUUUUAAUGAUUAUAACUUAAUUUGUUUGGUUCUUAAUUAAAAUACAAAACACCAUUUCCCCUACCCUCUUCUUUCAUGCUCCCCCUGCCCCCACCUAAAAUUCAUGGUCCCCCGUUUCUUUAAUUAUUAUUGUUUCAUACAUAGAUUAUAUAUGCACAUGAAUAAAUGAACACAUGAAUGCUGA
This is a non-coding RNA of Rattus norvegicus (Norway rat), 3272 nucleotides long. NCBI's taxonomy places the organism in Eukaryota, Metazoa, Chordata, Mammalia, Rodentia, Muridae. The record is from RefSeq and is a predicted model, not a curated record.